AAAAUCUGCACUGCCCUCCAGCAGGCCCCUGCCCUGCCCUUCCUCCUCCAAGGGCUGUGCUGUCCCUGUGCCAUUGCACCACCUGAGAGAAGCAGGCCAUCUCUCAGCCAUUUGCCCUCCAACUUGCCCCUCGUUCAUGGCCUCUCUGCUCAGCUCCUUUCUGAGCAGCAGGUGCCUCUUGCAGCAGGGAAUGCCCCCGGCCCAGGUGCAGCACAUCAGCGUUAGGGCCCAUCCUGCAGGUGGGCGGGGAGCAGUGCUGGGGCUGAUUUAUUCCCUGUCCUGGCUGUGGGACAUGCUGCUGGGGGAAGGUGUGAGUGUUCAUGCAGGAGCAAAAUGCGGUGUGGAAGAGAAGAACGUAAUGAAACUUACUCCAAAUAUCCCGAGGAUGCAAUAUGACAAUUCUCAGAGCGCAGAACAAACGUGGUAUGUUGGAUUCAGCUGUUUCCUUGCAGGACUGCCGAGUCAGCAUCAUGCUUAACUAGUAGAAGGUGGAGGAAAUGCAGUUAGCAUGUUGACACCAUAUGUGCGAGUCUGCGUGUGUCACUGGGGUGCAGAUUGAAAUAAUUUGGGACUUAACCGUUUACCAGUGGGCUUUG
This 596-nucleotide long non-coding RNA is filed under the name Pavo cristatus (Indian peafowl). Its description in RNAcentral is "lncRNA (ENSPSTG00000014769.1)". Lineage: Eukaryota; Metazoa; Chordata; Aves; Galliformes; Phasianidae. The record is from RNAcentral.